AGAGUUUGAUCCUGGCUCAGAACGAACGCUGGUAGCGUGGAUUAGGCAUGCAAGUCGAACGGGAUCGGACGGAUAGCAAUAUUCGUCCGUGAGAGUGGCGGAUUGGGGAGGAACACGUGAGCAACCUGCCUUUGAGUCGGGGAAAACCGGUGGAAACGCCGGCUAAUACCGGAUGUGGCGCCGGGUGACAUCAUCCGAGCGCUAAAGGGGGCCGCAAGGCUCUCGCUCUUAGAGGGGCUCGCGCAUCAUCAGCUUGUUGGCGGGGUAACGGCCCACCAAGGCUUACGAUUAGCUGGUCUGAGAGGAUGACCAGCCCCACUGGGACUGAGAUACUGCCCAGACUCCUACGGGAGGCUGCAGUCGAGGAUCAUUUGCAAUGGGCGAAAGCCUGACAAUGCGACGCUGCGUGGAGGAUGAAGGCCUUCGGGUUGUAAACUCCUGUCAUAAGGGAACAGGCGAUCCGACCUAAUACGUCGGUGAGUUGAGUGUACUUUAAGAGGAAUUGGCGGCUAACUCUGUGCCAGCAGCCGCGGUAAUACAGAGGCCAAGAGCGUUGUUCGGAUUUACUGGGCGUAAAGGGCGCGUAGGCGGCAAGGCGUGUCGGAUGUGAAAUCUCCGGGCUCAACCCGGAAAGUGCGUCCGAAACUACCUUGCUCGAGUCUGGGAGAGGUGAGUGGAAUUCCCAGUGUAGCGGUGAAAUGCGUAGAUAUUGGGAGGAACACCAGAGGCGAAGGCGGCUCACUGGACGAUUACUGACGUUGAGGCUCGAAAGCGUGGGGAGCAAACAGGAUUAGAUACCCUGGUAGUCCGACCCUUAACGGGGGCACACUAGAGGGGGGAGCGGGUGGCGGCCAGUCUCUUAGGCUGAGGCGAUAAGUGUGCCGCCUGGGGAGUACGGCCGCAAGGCUAAAACUCAAAGAAAUUGGCGGGGGCCCGCACAAGCAGAGGAGCAUGUGGCUUAAUUCGAUGCAACGCGAAGAACCUUACCUGGAUUUGACAUACAGCUGCAAGGGGGUAGGAAAGUAUCCCGCCUUCGAGGGUGCUGUACAGGUGCGGCAUGGCUGUCGUCAGUUCGUGCCGUGAGGUGUUUGGUUAAGUCCACCAACGAACGCAACCCCUAUCGCAUGUUGCCAGCGGGUCAAGCCGGGAACUCGUGCGAGACUGCUCGUUUACGCGAGAGGAAGGUGGGGAUGACGUCAAGUCAGUAUGGCCCUUACAUCCAGGGCUGCACACGUGCUACAAUGGCCGGUACAGAGGGAUCCCAAGCCGCGAGGCGGAGGCAACCCCCCAGAGCCGGCCCCAGUUCAGAUAGGGGUCUGCAACCCGACCCCGUGAAGUCGGAUUUGCUAGUAACGGCGUAUCAGCUACGACGCCGGGAAUGC
RNAcentral lists this ribosomal RNA (1382 nucleotides) under uncultured bacterium. RNAcentral describes it as "16S ribosomal RNA". It matches the Rfam family "Bacterial small subunit ribosomal RNA", at positions 8 to 1369 of the family's 1533-position model. The record is from RNAcentral.